GAUGAACGCUGGCGGCGUGCCUAAUACAUGCAAGUCGAACGAGGUGCUUUUGUAGCAAUACGAGAGUAUCCUAGUGGCGAACGGGUGAGUAACGCGUGGGUGACCUGCCCCAAAGUGUGGGAUAACAGAUCGAAAGAUCUGCUAAUACCUCAUGUGGUUAUCGGGGUUUAGAAAGCGAUAACUAAAGGAGUAAUCCGCUUUGGGAGGGACCUGCGUCCCAUCAGCUAGUUGGCGAGGUAACGGCUCACCAAGGCGACGACGGGUAGGGGACCUGAGAGGGUGGCCCCCCACAAUGGAACUGAAACACGGUCCAUACACCUACGGGUGGCAGCAGUAGGGAAUAUUGCUCAAUGGGCGAAAGCCUGAAGCAGCAACGCCGCGUGUGCGAUG
This 390-nucleotide ribosomal RNA is filed under the name uncultured bacterium. RNAcentral's name for it is "bacterial SSU rRNA". It matches the Rfam family "Bacterial small subunit ribosomal RNA", at positions 28 to 410 of the family's 1533-position model. The record is from RNAcentral.